GCACUUGGAGGAUGUAUAGCAAUAGCUAGUUGCAUCAUAGUAGAUAUGAUGCAAGAUCGACUAUGUUGAAUAAAAUUCUAGGUAGAAUUAUGAUAAUGACAUUGUCUGCCUAUGUGUCUUGACCAAAUUACGUGCCAGCAGUCGCGGUAAUACGUAGAAGACUAGUGUUAUUCAUGUUUAAUCGGUUUAAAGGGUACCUAGACGGUAGAUCAAGCUUUCUAAUAAAGGAAAAGGACUAGUUUACUAGAGUUACUUAUGAGGGGGUAUUAAAGUACUGCUGGUGUAGAGAUGAAAUUCUGUCAUACCUCUUUUCAAAAGAAAAACCAUGGCACAGGUAUAGGCGAAGGCAUCCCCUUAUGUGAUAACUGACGUUGAGGGACGAAGGCUUUGUGUAGCGAACAGGAUUAGAUACCCCAGUAGUCGAAGCAGAAAAUGAUGAAUGUCAUAGAUUAGAUAUAUAAGUUUAUUCUAUAAAUGAAAGUGUAAGCAUUCCACCUCAUGAGUAAUUUGGCAACAUUGGAACUGAAAUCAUUAGACCGUUUCUGAAACCAGUAGUGAAGUAUGUUGUUUAAUUUGAUGUCCCGCAAAAAACCUUACCACAAUUUGAAUAUUUAUAUUGUUUAUUGUUUUAUUAUUAAUUUUCUUGAACGGAAAGAUCACGUA
RNAcentral lists this ribosomal RNA (663 nucleotides) under Xanthoparmelia conspersa. Its description in RNAcentral is "SSU rRNA". It matches the Rfam family "Bacterial small subunit ribosomal RNA", at positions 397 to 1035 of the family's 1533-position model. The record is from RNAcentral. Lineage: Eukaryota; Fungi; Ascomycota; Lecanoromycetes; Lecanorales; Parmeliaceae.